CCUACGGGUGGCAGCAGUGAGGAAUAUUGGUCAAUGGUCGGGAGACUGAACCAGCCAAGCCGCGUGAGGGAGGAAGGUACAGAGUAUCGUAAACCUCUUUUGUCAGGGAACAAAGACUGGGACGCGUCCCCGGAUGAGUGUACCUGAAGAAAAAGCAUAGGCUAACUCCGUGCCAGCAGCCGCGGUAAUACGGAGGAUGCGAGCGUUAUCCGGAUUUAUUGGGUGUAAAGGGUGCGCAGGCGGUCCGUUUAGUCAGCGGUCAAAGCCCCGGGCUCAACCCCGGCCCCGCGUUGGAAACUGGCAGUCUCGAGUUGGAGAGAAGUAUGCGGAAUGCGCGGUGUAGCGGUGAAAUGCAUAGAUAUCGCGCAGAACUCCGAUUGCGAAGGCAGCAUGCCGGCUCCACACUGACGCUGAGGCACGAAAGCGUGGGUAUCGAACAGGAUUAGAUACCCGGGUAGUC
This 460-nucleotide ribosomal RNA is filed under the name uncultured bacterium. RNAcentral describes it as "partial 16S ribosomal RNA". It matches the Rfam family "Bacterial small subunit ribosomal RNA", at positions 338 to 795 of the family's 1533-position model. The record is from RNAcentral.